Molecule: transfer RNA, 25 nt
Filed under: Bilacunaria microcarpa
Lineage: Eukaryota; Viridiplantae; Streptophyta; Magnoliopsida; Apiales; Apiaceae
Also listed under: 5 other names
Description: partial tRNA-Thr
Source: RNAcentral
UCUCGGUUCAAAUCCGAUAAGGGGC